UUAAAAGGGUUUCACAGGGGCAAAGGCAAAAGUCCAAGUGACCUUGACCCCAGCUUUUCUUUGCCCUUACACACGCGGCAGCACCCUCGUAGCUGUCCAGAUAGAACAAGUGCUACUUUUAAAUGCCGCGCAUCCGUGAAUUGUAUGUAUUUGAAAUUUCGACUGUACAGGAAGCUUAAUAGAUGCAUGGAUUCUGUAUGAUGACACGUGAAUCUUCAUGUCUGAGCGCAGUCUGGAACAAAAUGGUCGCUGACGCAGAGCCAGCUCAUCUCCGAUUGGCUGCUCGUGCUACACACUAUGGAUGCGCCCGACCCUUCCAGCCGUAUGUCUGGGGGGCUCACGAACAACGUCGUAUCAUUCUUCAAUAAUACACGUGCAUGUCUUCUUGCAUUAUUCAAGGUUAUCAAGGCCCAAGUCACCUUCAACAGCUUUCUAUGAAACUGCCCUGGAAACGGGAUGGAAACAACAACAAAGCAGAGGUGGUCCUGCCAGUUGAUCCGGUCUGUGGAUGAUGGCUUGUGAACAUGACACCGUGACAGGAGGCAGUCCAGGGUUACCUGGACCAUGGCCACAUUAUAAGGGGACGAGAGGAGGGUACCAAAAGCCAUUUCCAUGUCCAGCAUGUGAGUCGUCCACCAUAUUCACGGACUGUCAGGCCCUGUUCCCCCAAGCCUCGAAAACAAGCCCAGAAUGUAGCCCUGGCCAUUUGGUGAGUGACGCCCGUUGCCCGGACAACGCUACUGUGAGACAUGAAAACAGAAUAGCCUAAGGCCCGGGGGUUGCUCGAGUUGUGACUGGAGCACGGGACCUGACCACCUGCUUGUUAAAGAUAGUCCGCUCGCUUGACAGCUCGGGAGAGGUUUCUCUCCAGUGCAACAGACAAAUGUUUCCAUCCAUCGGUGGAGCAUGGCGUUACAAUGCCGACCGCAGACACGAAAAUAUCGUCAUAUAAAAGAAGAUUCCAGAAAUUCUUGAGGUCACAGUACUGGCCUGUUGGCAACAGCAGCACACACCUUUCGCUGUGGCCCUGCGUAUAGCCGACAGUGACCUAGUCUAAAAACGCCAUAAACUCAUAAUCUCUCAUACUACAUCUCCAGCCUCAUUAUGAUCUCACCCGCACCUCGCCCAGAGCGAUAAAAGACCUGGAUUUGACCUGGGUUUGACCUGUGUUUACGAGGGGUGAGGAGACAUCGGAAGAGUUAACUGCAGGUCACAAACUGGAAUAUGUCCGGAGCCACUGUAGGUGAUGAACUGGGGUUAUGGUAAGAAUUGUUUCAAGAUCAAGUGUGUGUAACAUUCUUAGGCUGUUAGUUCUCUUAAAAAUGUGCUGCCCAUUCACAGACUUGUUCUAUUUUAUGAAUAUUAAUGACCACUGUCUAUGUCAAGUAUUCCUAUUUGCUUAAAACAUUAAAAAUGCACAAGAUGCAAUUCCAUCAA
Molecule: long non-coding RNA, 1437 nt
Organism: Engraulis encrasicolus (European anchovy)
Lineage: Eukaryota; Metazoa; Chordata; Actinopteri; Clupeiformes; Engraulidae
Exons: 6
Source: RefSeq, a predicted model, not a curated record